RNAcentral lists this ribosomal RNA (1213 nucleotides) under uncultured bacterium. RNAcentral describes it as "partial 16S ribosomal RNA". It matches the Rfam family "Bacterial small subunit ribosomal RNA", at positions 99 to 1312 of the family's 1533-position model. The record is from RNAcentral.
CGAACGGGUGAGUAAUACAUCGGAACGUACCCAGUCGUGGGGGAUAACACAUCGAAAGAUGUGCUAAUACCGCAUACGACCUGAGGGUGAAAGGGGGGGAUCGCAAGACCUCUCGCGAUUGGAGCGGCCGAUGUCGGAUUAGCUAGUUGGUGAGGUAAAGGCUCACCAAGGCGACGAUCCGUAGCUGGUCUGAGAGGAUGAUCAGCCACACUGGGACUGAGACACGGCCCAGACUCCUACGGGAGGCAGCAGUGGGGAAUUUUGGACAAUGGGGGCAACCCUGAUCCAGCCAUUCCGCGUGAGUGAAGAAGGCCUUCGGGUUGUAAAGCUCUUUCGGCAGGAACGAAACGGUGAGGGCCAAUACCCCUUAUCAAUGACGGUACCUGAAGAAGAAGCACCGGCUAACUACGUGCCAGCAGCCGCGGUAAUACGUAGGGUGCGAGCGUUAAUCGGAAUUACUGGGCGUAAAGCGUGCGCAGGCGGUUGUGUAAGACAGGUGUGAAAUCCCCGGGCUUAACCUGGGAACUGCGCUUGUGACUGCACGACUCGAGUGUGGCAGAGGGGGGCGGAAUUCCACGUGUAGCAGUGAAAUGCGUAGAGAUGUGGAGGAACACCGAUGGCGAAGGCAGCCCCCUGGGUUAACACUGACGCUCAUGCACGAAAGCGUGGGUAGCAAACAGGAUUAGAUACCCUGGUAGUCCACGCCCUAAACGAUGCCAACUAGGUGUUGGGGAAGGAGACUUCCUUAGUACCGUAGCUAACGCGUGAAGUUGGCCGCCUGGGGAGUACGGUCGCAAGAUUAAAACCCAAAGGAAUUGACGGGGACCCGCACAAGCGGUGGAUGACGUGGAUUAAUUCGAUGCAACGCGAAAAACCUUACCUACCCUUGACAUGUCCAGAACCCUGCAGAGAUGCGGGGGUGCCCGAAAGGGAAUUGGAACACAGGUGCUGCAUGGCUGUCGUCAGCUCGUGUCGUGAGAUGUUGGGUUAAGUCCCGCAACGAGCGCAACCCUUAUCAUUAGUUGCUACGCAAGGGCACUCUAAUGAGACUGCCGGUGACAAACCGGAGGAAGGUGGGGAUGACGUCAAGUCCUCAUGGCCCUUAUGGGUAGGGCUUCACACGUCAUACAAUGGUCGGUACAGAGGGUUGCCAAGCCGCGAGGUGGAGCCAAUCCCAGAAAGCCGAUCGUAGUCCGGAUUGUUCUCUGCAACU